AUCCUUUUGUAGUUCCUAAAUGAGAUGAUUGGGUGUUCACAUGCAUGGGUGAGAUAUGCCACCCUUGAAUCUUGUUAUGACAUCAGUACAUUUCCCAUCUGCCA
Small nucleolar RNA from Callithrix jacchus (white-tufted-ear marmoset), 104 nucleotides. NCBI's taxonomy places the organism in Eukaryota, Metazoa, Chordata, Mammalia, Primates, Cebidae. The record is from Ensembl.